RNAcentral lists this ribosomal RNA (254 nucleotides) under uncultured bacterium. RNAcentral describes it as "partial 16S ribosomal RNA". It matches the Rfam family "Bacterial small subunit ribosomal RNA", at positions 524 to 776 of the family's 1533-position model. The record is from RNAcentral.
GACGUUUUGUGCGAACGUUAUUCGGAAUCACUGGGCUUAAAGCGCGUGUAGGCGGAUGGGAACGUCGGCCACUGAAAGCCCCCGGCUCAACCGGGGAAGCGGUGCCGGGACGGCCCGUCUGGAGGGGCGUAGGGGGACCUGGAACUUCCGGUGGAGCGGUGAAAUGCGUUGAGAUCGGAAGGAACGCCCGUGGCGAAAGCGAGGUCCUGGACGUCAUCUGACGCUGAGACGCGAAAGCUAGGGGAGCGAACGGG